This 786-nucleotide ribosomal RNA is filed under the name uncultured delta proteobacterium. Its description in RNAcentral is "bacterial SSU rRNA". It matches the Rfam family "Bacterial small subunit ribosomal RNA", at positions 94 to 866 of the family's 1533-position model. Lineage: Bacteria; Deltaproteobacteria. The record is from RNAcentral.
ACUGGCGCAAGGGUGAGUAACACGUAGGCAACCUACCCUGCAGUGGGGGAUAACACCGGGAAACCGGUGCUAAUACCGCAUGAUAUCCAAAAAUCGCAUGGUUUUUGGAUCAAAGAAAUCCCUGGCAACAGGGUAUCGCUGUAGGGGGGGCCUGCGGCCUAUUAGCUAGUUGGUAGGGUAACGGCCUACCAAGGCGAUGAUGGGUAGCUGGUCUGAGAGGAUGGUCAGCCACACUGGCACUGAGACACGGGCCAGACUCCUACGGGAGGCAGCAGUGAGGAAUUUUGGGCAAUGGGCGAAAGCCUGACCCAGCAACGCCGCGUGGGUGAUGACGUUCUGCGGAACUUAAAGCCCUGUUGGGGGGGAUGAAAUUCCUGCAUCGCAGGAAUCGACAGUACCCCCAAAGAAAGCUCCGGCCAACUCCGUGCCAGCAGCCGCGGUAAUACGGGGGGAGCGAGCGUUGUCCGGAUUCACUGGGCGUAAAGCGCGUGUAGGCGGAUUGGUAAGUCAGUGGUGAAAGCCCUCGGCUUAACUGAGGAAUUGCUGCUGAUACUGCCAAUCUUGAGUAUGGAAGAGGGAAGUGGAAUUCCUGGUGUAGCGGUGAAAUGCGUAGAUAUCAGGAAGAACACCGGUAGCGAAGGCGGCUUCCUGGUCCAUUACUGACGCUAAAACGCGAAAGCGUGGGGAGCAAACAGGAUUAGAUACCCUGGUAGUCCACGCCGUAAACGAUGGGUACUAGGUGUUGCGAGGUUAGUCCUUGCAGUGCCGAAGUUAACGCAUUAAGUA